AUCCAGUUGACGAGUCCCAAAUGGGACGAAAUGCACGUACUGGAU
This 45-nucleotide non-coding RNA is filed under the name Schistosoma margrebowiei. The record is from RNAcentral. Lineage: Eukaryota; Metazoa; Platyhelminthes; Trematoda; Strigeidida; Schistosomatidae.